AUUGAACGCUGGCGGCAUGCCUUACACAUGCAAGUCGAACGGCAGCACGGGGCAACCUGGUGGCGAGUGGCGAACGGGUGAGUAAUAUAUCGGAACGUGCCCUGGAGUGGGGGAUAACGCAGCGAAAGUUGCGCUAAUACCGCAUACGAUCUAAGGAUGAAAGUGGGGGAUUCGCAAGAACCUCAUGCUCCUGGAGCGGCCGAUAUCUGAUUAGCUAGUUGGUGGGGUAAAGGCCUACCAAGGCAUCGAUCAGUAGCUGGUCUGAGAGGACGACCAGCCACACUGGAACUGAGACACGGUCCAGACUCCUACGGGAGGCAGCAGUGGGGAAUUAGU
This 336-nucleotide ribosomal RNA is filed under the name uncultured bacterium. RNAcentral's name for it is "bacterial SSU rRNA". It matches the Rfam family "Bacterial small subunit ribosomal RNA", at positions 30 to 366 of the family's 1533-position model. The record is from RNAcentral.